CGCUGCAGCCCUGGUUCUCAGUGUGGGUUUACGUAGUCUGAGAGGUGGAAACAGAAAAUAGAGAUUGUCGUUCUCGUUAUUAUAGUUAUAGUAGGUUUGAGUUGUCACAAUGGUGAAUUUUUGUGUUUGUUUUGGAUGCAACAACUCCAACUUGUCUGGCCAUCGGGUCCACCGAUUUCCAAACAAGAAACACAAAGAUUUCCGUGCUUGGAUACGUUUCGUCCAGGCAAAGAGAAGCAAUUUCGCUGCCUCCUCGUUGACAAGACACACGGUGGUAUGUGAAAAACACUUCACACCGGACAGCUACAACCAAGGAGAUCUUAUGGAAUUUCGCAUGGGAUUUCGACGAAAAGAGUGGGUUAGGCUGGCAAAUGGAGCUGUGCCAUCGGUGCAUGCAGGUCCACCUGCAAAAUCUGGCGGGAGUGAAGAGUCUAACGUUAAUGUUAGCACUAGGAGAGAAUCUGCGCGUCGAAAAAGGGAGCUUUGCACAGCCUGCGGAACUUGUGGUUAUGAGCGUUACUGGCAAAACCAAGAGAAGGUGCAUCAAAACAUGCCUGCCUGCAACCUUUUACUCAGCGGUGCCAUCCACUUCUCAGGUUGCAUGGCUUCUCAGACAAUCAGGAUGCUGAAGCUGUUUGGACUGCAGUGCAUAAGUCCUGGCACUUUUUUCUGCCAUCAGCGCUAUUACUCUAUCCCUACCAUCAUGCAGGCCUGGAGGAAUGAGCAGAGGGGGAUCAUCAGGGAGUUGAAGUAGACUGGGGGUGGAUUGAUCCUGUCUGGUGAUUGCAGAUCAGAUUCUCCUGGACACUGUGCCAAAUACGGUAACUACUCCUUGAUUGAGGAUCGAAUUAACAAAGUUUUGGAUGUUCAGCUUGUCCAAAGCUCAGAAGUCCCAAGCAGCUCUUGGUGUGAGCUAGAGGGUCUAAAGCGGAGUAUGCAGUUCUUGAUGGACCAAGACAUGCAAGUGGCAGGUGGCCAAGUGGGUACGUGAGAAAAUGUGUUCAGAAGGAACAAGGCAUUUCUUUGACGUCUGGCAUAUUGGGAAAAGUGUACAGAAAGCACUGGAUGCUGCUGCAAAAGAGAGGGACUGUGAGGAUCUGAAGCUGUGGAGGCCAGCCAUCAUCAACCAUCUCUACUGGACCGCAGCUUCCACCCCUACAGGAGAUCCAGAUGAGAUGCAGGCAAAAUGUACAGGACAUACAUGAACACAGCACUCCUGCAUUUGCCAGCUGCGCACAUCCACCGUUGGAAGGAGAGGCAAGAAACAAGGAGUGGCUGGAACCAGGAUCACCAGCACCUACUAAACUGGAGAGUGUAGCUGCCAGGAAAGCACUGGUAAAGGAUAUUCGACAAUUGUCACCUCAGCAUCAGACAUUCUCCCUGGAGGCCUACCAUUCCCUCAAUCUGCACUUUGCUCCCAAACAUACUGGCUUUUCUUUUCUUGGGAUGUACAGCAGACUUCUCUUGGCAGCCCUACAUUUCAAUAGUAAUGGCAACAGAGAUGUAGCGCGAACUAGUGAGGGUGAGGGACGCUACGCUGUUCGCUACCCACGGUUUCGGAAAGGUGGCUGGGUAGUCCACCCCAUCAAGGAGAAACCAUCUUACGGUUAGUAGUUUCACUUAGUUUUUCAAUAUC
Molecule: RNA transcript, 1636 nt
Organism: Carassius auratus (goldfish)
Lineage: Eukaryota; Metazoa; Chordata; Actinopteri; Cypriniformes; Cyprinidae
Exons: 8
Source: RefSeq, a predicted model, not a curated record